UUUCCUCACCAGCUUUAUUUGGUCCACCCACCCUGCCCUCUUAGCCUGCUUCUUCCAGAGGCCUGUGGGGAGCAGCCACGGGAUCCAGUUAACCAUUGCCCUGAGCCUCCCCCAGUCUGGCUCAUUGAACGCAUGCACCUGCCACUGACCAUCUCUGCCAUUUUUCUUCCGGCUGUUUGCUGUUUGUGUGAUUGGCUCUCCUCUUGUAUUUCAAGCUGCCCACUACAUCCAUCAUAGACAGCAGUUUAUCUUCCCAGACAUCUCUACCCCAUCCCAAGCACCCCAAGUCCCUGAUGCAGCUGAAGAGACACGGGUCAAUGACCAGCCGAAAGCCAGUAUGACUGAGGACCAUGAAACAGAGGCGAGCUUGGAGAUGGCACAGCAGAGAUCUGUGGGUCAAUCAC
Long non-coding RNA from Antechinus flavipes (yellow-footed antechinus), 404 nucleotides. RefSeq lists it as uncharacterized. The record is from RefSeq and is a predicted model, not a curated record. NCBI's taxonomy places the organism in Eukaryota, Metazoa, Chordata, Mammalia, Dasyuromorphia, Dasyuridae. The transcript is spliced from 3 exons.